This 446-nucleotide ribosomal RNA is filed under the name uncultured bacterium. RNAcentral describes it as "partial 16S ribosomal RNA". It matches the Rfam family "Bacterial small subunit ribosomal RNA", at positions 338 to 795 of the family's 1533-position model. The record is from RNAcentral.
CCUACGGGAGGCAGCAGUCGAGAAUCAUUCACAAUGGGGGAAACCCUGAUGGUGCGACGCCGCGUGGGGGAAUGAAGGUCUUCGGAUUGUAAACCCCUGUCAUGUGGGAGCAAAUUAAAAAGAUAGUACCACAAGAGGAAGAGACGACUAACUCUGUGCCAGCAGCCGCGGUAAUACAGAGGUCUCAAGCGUUGUUCGGAAUCACUGGGCGUAAAGCGUGCGUAGGCUGUUUCGUAAGUCGUGUGUGAAAGGCGCGGGCUCAACCCGCGGACGGCACAUGAUACUGCGAGACUAGAGUAAGGGAGGGGGAACCGGAAUUCUCGGUGUAGCAGUGAAAUGCGUAGAUAUCGAGAGGAACACUCGUGGCGAAGGCGGGUUCCUGGACAUUAACUGACGCUGAGGCACGAAGGCCAGGGGAGCGAAAGGGAUUAGAUACCCUAGUAGUC